GGUAGUCCACGCCCUAAACGAUGUCAACUAGCUGUUGGGGCCUUCGGGCCUUGGUAGCGCAGCUAACGCGUGAAGUUGACCGCCUGGGGAGUACGGUCGCAAGAUUAAAACUCAAAGGAAUUGACGGGGACCCGCACAAGCGGUGGAUGAUGUGGAUUAAUUCGAUGCAACACGAAAAACCUUACCUACCCUUGACAUGUCUGAAAUCCCAGAGAGAUUAGGGAGUGCUCGCAAGAGAACCGGAACACAGGUGCUGCAUGGCUGUCGUCAGCUCGUGUCGUGAGAUGUUGGGUUAAGUCCCGCAACGAGCGCAACCCUUGUCAUUAGUUGCUACGAAAGGGCACUCUAAUGAGACUGCCGGUGACAAACCGGAGGAAGGUGGGGAUGACGUCAAGUCCUCAUGGCCCUUAUGGGUAGGGCUUCACACGUCAUACAAUGGUCGGGACAGAGGGUCGCCAACCCGCGAGGGGGAGCCAAUCCCAGAAACCCGAUCGUAGUCCGGAUCGUAGUCCGCAACUCGACUACGUGAAGUCGGAAUCGCUAGUAAUCGCGGAUCAGAAUGUCGCGGUGAAUACGUUCCCGGGUCUUGUACACACCGCCCGUCACACCAUGGGAGCGGGUUUUACCAGAAGUAGGUAGCUUAACCGCAAGGAGGGCGCUUACCACGGUAGGAUUCGUGACUGGGGUGAAGUCGUAACAAGGUAGCCGUAUCGGAAGGUGC
Molecule: ribosomal RNA, 721 nt
Filed under: uncultured bacterium
Lineage: Bacteria
Description: bacterial SSU rRNA
Rfam family: Bacterial small subunit ribosomal RNA
Source: RNAcentral